RNAcentral lists this ribosomal RNA (269 nucleotides) under uncultured bacterium. RNAcentral's name for it is "partial small subunit ribosomal RNA". It matches the Rfam family "Bacterial small subunit ribosomal RNA", at positions 26 to 285 of the family's 1533-position model. The record is from RNAcentral.
AGGACGAACGCUGGCGGCGUGCUUCACACAUGCAAGUCGAACGGGGCUCAUUCGGUGGUAACACCGGAGAAGGCCUAGUGGCGAACGGGUGCGUAACACGUGAAGAACCUGCCCCGAAGACUGGGAUAACAGCGGGAAACCGCUGCUAAUACCGGAUGACCCCACCAGGCCGCAUGGCCAGGUGAGGAAAUGGGCCUACCGCUUCGGGAGGGCUUCGCGGCCUAUCAGCUUGUUGGUGAGGUAACGGCUCACCAAGGCGACGACGGGUA